This 165-nucleotide small nuclear RNA is filed under the name Rhinopithecus bieti (black snub-nosed monkey). RNAcentral describes it as "U1 spliceosomal RNA (ENSRBIG00000023601.1)". It matches the Rfam family "U1 spliceosomal RNA". From Rfam's summary of the family: U1 is a small nuclear RNA (snRNA) component of the spliceosome (involved in pre-mRNA splicing). Its 5' end forms complementary base pairs with the 5' splice junction, thus defining the 5' donor site of an intron. There are significant differences in sequence and secondary structure between metazoan and yeast U1 snRNAs, the latter being much longer (568 nucleotides as compared to 164 nucleotides in human). Lineage: Eukaryota; Metazoa; Chordata; Mammalia; Primates; Cercopithecidae. The record is from Rfam by way of RNAcentral.
AUACUUACGGGGCAGUAGAAAUACCAUGAUUAUGAUAGGUGGUUUUCCCGCGACGAGAUUUGUUUAUUGCAUUUUUGAUGUACUGAUCCCUGCCAUUUUCCUAAAUGCGGGAAAAUCUGUUGCAUAAUUUGUGGUAGUGGGCGACUGCGUUCGCGUUUUUCCCUG